This 253-nucleotide ribosomal RNA is filed under the name uncultured bacterium. RNAcentral's name for it is "partial 16S ribosomal RNA". It matches the Rfam family "Bacterial small subunit ribosomal RNA", at positions 524 to 776 of the family's 1533-position model. The record is from RNAcentral.
UACGAAGGGGGCUAGCGUUGCUCGGAAUUACUGGGCGUAAAGCGCACGUAGGCGGCUUUGUAAGUUAGAGGUGAAGGCCCGGAGCUCAACUCCGGAAUUGCCUUUAAGACUGCAUCGCUAGAAUUGUGGAGAGGUGAGUGGAAUUCCCGGUGUAGUGGUGAAAUGCGUAGAUAUCGGGAGGAACACCAGUGGCGAAGGCGGCUUCCUGGCCUGUUCUUGACGCUGAGGCGCGAAAGCUAGGGGAGCAAACGGG